GCUGGCGGCAGGCCUAACACAUGCAAGUCGGACGGUAACAGGAGAGAAGCUUGCUUUUCUUGCUGACGAGUGGCGGACGGGUGAGUAACGCGUGGGAAUCUACCCUUUAGUUGGGGACAACAUAUGGAAACGUAUGCUAAUACCGAAUAUGCUCUACGGAGUAAAGGUGCCCUCUCCUUGGAAGGUAUCGCUAAAGGAUGAGCCCGCGUUAGAUUAGCUAGUUGGUAGGGUAAAGGCCUACCAAGGCGACGAUCUAUAGCUGGUUUGAGAGGAUGAUCAGCCACACUGGGACUGAGACACGGCCCAGACUCCUACGGGAGGCAGCAGUGGGGAAUAUUGCACAAUGAGGGAAACCUUGAUGCAGCCAUGCCGCGUGUGUGAAGAAGGCCCGAGGGUUGUAAAGCACUUUCAAUUGUGAGGAAGAUUAAGUAGCUAAUACCUGCUUAGUUUGACGUUAACUUUAGAAGAAGCACCGGCUAACUCUGUGCCAGCAGCCGCGGUAAUACAGAGGGUGCAAGCGUUAUUCGGAAUUACUGGGCGUAAAGCGCGCGUAGGCGGACUGUUAAGUCGGUUGUGAAAGCCCUGGGCUCAACCUAGGAACUGCAUCCGAUACUGGCAAUCUAGAGUUUAAGAGAGGGAAGUGGAAUUCCAGGGUGUAGCAGUGAAAUGCGUAGAUAUCUGGAGGAACAUCAGUGGCGAAGGCGACUUCCUGGCUUAAAACUGACGCUGAGGUGCGAAAGCUUGGGUAGCGAACGGGAUUAGAUACCCCGGUAGUCCAAGCCGUAAACGAUGUCAACUAGCUGUUGGUCUUAUUAAAAAGAUUAGUAGCGCAGCUAACGCGAUAAGUUGACCGCCUGGGGAGUACG
Molecule: ribosomal RNA, 866 nt
Filed under: uncultured bacterium
Lineage: Bacteria
Description: bacterial SSU rRNA
Rfam family: Bacterial small subunit ribosomal RNA
Source: RNAcentral